CUACGGGUGGCUGCAGUGAGGAAUAUUGCGCAAUGGGGGAAACCCUGACGCAGCGACGCCGCGUGGAUGAUGAAGGCCUUCGGGUCGUAAAAUCCUGUCAGAAGGAAAGAAGUGUAUGGUAGCUAAUAUCUGCCAUACUUGACGGUACCUUCAAAGGAAGCACCGGCUAACUCCGUGCCAGCAGCCGCGGUAAUACGGAGGGUGCAAGCGUUGUUCGGAAUUACUGGGCGUAAAGCGCGCGUAGGCGGUUUUAUAAGUCAUAUGUGAAAGUCCACGGCUCAACCAUGGAAGUGCAUUUGAAACUGUAAGACGUGAGUAUUGGAGGGGGUAGUGGAAUUCCCGGUGUAGAGGUGAAAUUCGUAGAUAUCGGGAGGAAUACCGGUGGCGAAGGCGACUAUCUGGCCAAAUACUGACGCUGAGGUGCGAAAGCGUGGGGAGCAAACAGGAUUAGAUACCCUAGUAGUC
Molecule: ribosomal RNA, 465 nt
Filed under: uncultured bacterium
Lineage: Bacteria
Description: partial 16S ribosomal RNA
Rfam family: Bacterial small subunit ribosomal RNA
Source: RNAcentral